Molecule: ribosomal RNA, 1111 nt
Filed under: Klebsiella pneumoniae
Lineage: Bacteria; Pseudomonadati; Pseudomonadota; Gammaproteobacteria; Enterobacterales; Enterobacteriaceae
Description: bacterial SSU rRNA
Rfam family: Bacterial small subunit ribosomal RNA
Source: RNAcentral
AAAUUGAAGAGUUUGAUCAUGGCUCAGAUUGAACGCUGGCGGCAGGCCUAACACAUGCAAGUCGAGCGGUAGCACAGAGAGCUUGCUCUCGGGUGACGAGCGGCGGACGGGUGAGUAAUGUCUGGGAAACUGCCUGAUGGAGGGGGAUAACUACUGGAAACGGUAGCUAAUACCGCAUAAUGUCGCAAGACCAAAGUGGGGGACCUUCGGGCCUCAUGCCAUCAGAUGUGCCCAGAUGGGAUUAGCUAGUAGGUGGGGUAACGGCUCACCUAGGCGACGAUCCCUAGCUGGUCUGAGAGGAUGACCAGCCACACUGGAACUGAGACACGGUCCAGACUCCUACGGGAGGCAGCAGUGGGGAAUAUUGCACAAUGGGCGCAAGCCUGAUGCAGCCAUGCCGCGUGUGUGAAGAAGGCCUUCGGGUUGUAAAGCACUUUCAGCGGGGAGGAAGGCGUUAAGGUUAAUAACCUUGGCGAUUGACGUUACCCGCAGAAGAAGCACCGGCUAACUCCGUGCCAGCAGCCGCGGUAAUACGGAGGGUGCAAGCGUUAAUCGGAAUUACUGGGCGUAAAGCGCACGCAGGCGGUCUGUCAAGUCGGAUGUGAAAUCCCCGGGCUCAACCUGGGAACUGCAUUCGAAACUGGCAGGCUAGAGUCUUGUAGAGGGGGGUAGAAUUCCAGGUGUAGCGGUGAAAUGCGUAGAGAUCUGGAGGAAUACCGGUGGCGAAGGCGGCCCCCUGGACAAAGACUGACGCUCAGGUGCGAAAGCGUGGGGAGCAAACAGGAUUAGAUACCCUGGUAGUCCACGCCGUAAACGAUGUCGAUUUGGAGGUUGUGCCCUUGAGGCGUGGCUUCCGGAGCUAACGCGUUAAAUCGACCGCCUGGGGAGUACGGCCGCAAGGUUAAAACUCAAAUGAAUUGACGGGGGCCCGCACAAGCGGUGGAGCAUGUGGUUUAAUUCGAUGCAACGCGAAGAACCUUACCUGGUCUUGACAUCCACAGAACUUUCCAGAGAUGGAUUGGUGCCUUCGGGAACUGUGAGACAGGUGCUGCAUGGCUGUCGUCAGCUCGUGUUGUGAAAUGUUGGGUUAAGUCCCGCAACGAGCGCAACC